Molecule: long non-coding RNA, 751 nt
Filed under: Homo sapiens (human)
Lineage: Eukaryota; Metazoa; Chordata; Mammalia; Primates; Hominidae
Description: HSALNT0300065
Source: RNAcentral
GCUUAUGGAUAUGAAAAGGCUUUCCCAAAGAAGCCAUGGAGUAGAAUCCAGGUCUCCCAGUUCGUGAUCAGUCUUCCAUCUCCCUGGUGGGCCAGAGAUAUUUCAAGUUGGCAGAGUCAAGCAUGAGCAAGGAGAUGGUGUGGGGCAGAGUGUGAACCAUAUAUUCCUAGACCCCAGUGAUGAAGGCUAAAUGAGACAAUAUACGUCAUGCAUCUUGCACUUCCUGCCACACAGAGCUUCCAUGGAUACUGAAAGAUCAGCUGACACGUGCCUUCAAGGCUAAAAUGAAUGUGGAUAUCAAUAGUGAUGAGAAGAAAUGGUCUAAAAUAAAGAAACAGCAUGUGCAAAAGUGAAGAUUAUGAUGCUAUGUCAGUUACCUUCAGGACCCAAUUGUAGCCACUUCAGCUGGCCCAGGCUUUCCCGAAAUGUGAAGACAGCAAACUCCCACUCUUCCUCCUGCAGACUGGUGGCAAAAACACAAAGUCCACUUGAGACCAUGAAGUCCAAGGAUCUUUUCUUAUUCCUGGAAUAUACUAGGAAAAAUACAGGCACCGUGCAGCGGGUGCUGUGUUCUAGCUGCUCUGUUAACUGCCAGUUACCUCAUUUGAUCCUGAUGACAACCCUUGGGUAGGUAUUGUGGUUACCUCCAUUCUAUCUCUGGAAGAACUAAGAAUGGAGGUUAAGUAACUUUCCUGAGGCUCCUUAGCUAAGUCUCUAGGACUGGAAUGGAGCCAGGCAGCCUGACUCAAGA